Molecule: ribosomal RNA, 508 nt
Filed under: uncultured bacterium
Lineage: Bacteria
Description: partial 16S ribosomal RNA
Rfam family: Bacterial small subunit ribosomal RNA
Source: RNAcentral
GACGAACGCUGGCGGCGUGCUUAACACAUGCAAGUCGAACGGGCCUUGUCCCCUUUUUUUUUGGGGGUGGGGUUAGUGGCGAACGGGUGAGUAACACGUGAGUAACCUGCCCCUCACUUCUGGAUAACCGCUUGAAAGGGUGGCUAAUACGGGGUGUUCUGGCCUGCUCGCAUGGGUGGGUUUGGAAAGAUUCGACCGGUUUUGGUGGUUUUGGUGGGGGAUGGGCUCGCGGCCUAUCAGCUUGUUGGUGGGGUGAUGGCCUGCCAAGGCUUUGACGGGUAGCCGGCCUGAGAGGGUGGGCGGUCACACUGGGACUGAGACACGGCCCAGACUCCUACGGGAGGCAGCAGUGGGGAAUAGUGCACGAUGGGCGCAAGCCUGAUGCAGCGACGCCGCGUGAGGGAUGGAGGCCUUCGGGUUGUGAACCUCUUUCGCCAGUGAAGAAGGUCCUGCUCUUUGUGGUGGGGUUGACGGUAGCUGGGUUAAUGAAGCGCCGGCUAACUACGUG